UUCCAGACUCCUACGGGAGGCAGCAGUGGGGAAUAUUGCACAAUGGGGGAAACCCUGAUGCAGCGACGCCGCGUGGGUGAAGAAGUAUUUCGGUAUGUAAAGCCCUCUCAGCAGGGAAGAAGAAUGACGGUACCUGACUAAGAAGCACCGGCUAAAUACGUGCCAGCAGCCGCGGUAAUACGUAGGGGGCAAGCGUUAUCCGGAUUUACUGGGUGUAAAGGGAGCGUAGACGGUAUGGCAAGUCUGAUGUGAAAACCCGGGGCUCAACCUCGGGACUGCAUUGGAAACUGUCGGACUAGAGUGUCGGAGAGGCAAGUGGAAUUCCUAGUGUAGCGGUGAAAUGCGUAGAUAUUAGGAGGAACACCAGUGGCGAAGGCGGCUUACUGGACUGUAACUGACGUUGAGGCUCGAAAGCGUGGGGAGCAAACAGGAUUAGAUACCCUAGUA
RNAcentral lists this ribosomal RNA (447 nucleotides) under uncultured bacterium. RNAcentral describes it as "partial 16S ribosomal RNA". It matches the Rfam family "Bacterial small subunit ribosomal RNA", at positions 329 to 792 of the family's 1533-position model. The record is from RNAcentral.